GAUGAACGCUGGCGGCGUGCCUAAUACAUGCAAGUCGAGCGAACAGACGAGGAGCUUGCUCCUCUGACGUUAGCGGCGGACGGGUGAGUAACACGUGGAUAACCUACCUAUAAGACUGGGAUAACUUCGGGAAACCGGAGCUAAUACCGGAUAACAUGUUGAACCGCAUGGUUCAACAGUGAAAGACGGUCUUGCUGUCACUUAUAGAUGGAUCCGCGCCGCAUUAGCUAGUUGGUAAGGUAACGGCUUACCAAGGCAACGAUGCGUAGCCGACCUGAGAGGGUGACCGGCCACACUGGAACUGAGACACGGUCCAGACUCCUACGGGAGGCAGCAGUAGGGAAUCUUCCGCAAUGGGCGAAAGCCUGACGGAGCAACGCCGCGUGAGUGAAGAAGGUCUUCGGAUCGUAAAACUCUGUUAUUAGGGAAGAACAAAUGUGUAAGUAACUAUGCACGUCUUGACGGUACCUAAUCAGAAAGCCACGGCUAACUACGUG
Molecule: ribosomal RNA, 497 nt
Filed under: uncultured bacterium
Lineage: Bacteria
Description: partial 16S ribosomal RNA
Rfam family: Bacterial small subunit ribosomal RNA
Source: RNAcentral